GACGAACGCUGGCGGCGUGCCUAAUACAUGCAAGUCGAGCGAAUGAUGAGGAGCUUGCUCCUCUGAUUUAGCGGCGGACGGGUGAGUAACACGUGGGCAACCUGCCCUGUAGACUGGGAUAACUUCGGGAAACCGGAGCUAAUACCGGAUAAUUCUUUUAGCCGCAUGGCUUUAAGCUAAAAGGCGCUUCGGCGUCACUACAGGAUGGGCCCGCGGUGCAUUAGCUAGUUGGUGGGGUAACGGCCUACCAAGGCAACGAUGCAUAGCCGACCUGAGAGGGUGAUCGGCCACAUUGGGACUGAGACACGGACCAAACUCCUACGGGAGGUAGCAGUAGGGAAUCUUCCACAAUGGACGAAAGUCUGAUGGAGCAACGCCGCGUGAGUGAUGAAGGUUUUCGGAUCGUAAAACUCUGUUGUAAGGGAAGAACAAGUGCGUUAGGUAAUGAACGCACCUUGACGGUACCUUAUUAGAAAGCCACGGCUAACUACGUGCCAGCCGCCGCGGUAA
Molecule: ribosomal RNA, 510 nt
Filed under: uncultured bacterium
Lineage: Bacteria
Description: partial 16S ribosomal RNA
Rfam family: Bacterial small subunit ribosomal RNA
Source: RNAcentral